RNAcentral lists this ribosomal RNA (277 nucleotides) under uncultured bacterium. Its description in RNAcentral is "partial 16S ribosomal RNA". It matches the Rfam family "Bacterial small subunit ribosomal RNA", at positions 28 to 316 of the family's 1533-position model. The record is from RNAcentral.
GAUAAACGCUGGCGGCGUGCCUAAUGCAUGCAAGUCGAACGGACUGAGAAAUCAGUUAGUGGCAAACGGGUGAGUAACACGUGGGAACCUACCUCUUAGUGGGGAACAACUCUCUGAAAGGAGAGCUAAUACCGCAUAAUCUUCUUCUGUGACAAGAAAGAAGGAAAGCAGAGAUGCGCUGAGAGAUGGGCCUGCGGCUGAUUAGCUAGUUGGUGAGGUAAUGGCCCACCAAGGCAAUGAUCAGUAGCUGGUCUGAGAGGACAGCCAGCCACACUGG